This 698-nucleotide long non-coding RNA is filed under the name Chinchilla lanigera (long-tailed chinchilla). RNAcentral describes it as "lncRNA (ENSCLAG00000027945.1)". The record is from RNAcentral. Lineage: Eukaryota; Metazoa; Chordata; Mammalia; Rodentia; Chinchillidae.
GUUGCAGCCCCAAAAUCAGAGGGACCAUGCAUCCUGGGCCCCGUGGAACAGCCCACAAGGAUCACAGCCAGGGGCAGUUCCCCUAGUCUGCAAUGAAUGGGGUUCCUCUGACAAAGCAAUCAACUUCUUCAUGGUUGGCAGGUCUGGAGCUCCUGAGGCACAGAAUGAAGAGCAGCUGAUGGGCUUGGAGAUGGGUUCUUGUUAUAAUCCCAACAAAGAUGAGAUCUACAGAAGCUGGGUAUUUGAAUUUGUGGAGAAUUUGAUCCUGCUUCCUCUUGCUUCUUCGAUGGUAUUCCAGGCGGAUACACUGGUGGGCAAACACUACCACCCAUCCAUAACAAAACUCAUUACGCAAAGACUCACAAGGUGGAGAACUGACCACCCAACUCCACUGCUCACUAACUCUGUAAACUCAAGAAAAAUUGCCAGAGCCUGGACAUACCUGUGUCCAAAGCACACUGGAAAAACUCUGCUCCAGUCUUCAUAUGCAUGCAUGAAAGCCCAGGCCAGACUCCGGGACAGCAGACUGGUGGGUGACAUGCAGAGCAGGACAGGUUGCCUAGUCACAUGCUCCAGCCUCUCUUCUAAGCCAAAUGAAAGUGAACACAGGACAUUCAGUUAAAUUGGCAUUUCAGGUAAGCUACAAAUAUUUUUAGUGUAUUUUUCAAGUAUUACAUAAGACAUACUUAUGUUGAUGC